This 1547-nucleotide long non-coding RNA is filed under the name Triticum aestivum (bread wheat). RNAcentral describes it as "long non-coding RNA (TAES_LNC012442)". Lineage: Eukaryota; Viridiplantae; Streptophyta; Magnoliopsida; Poales; Poaceae. The record is from RNAcentral.
AAUAUUUUAUUAUUUAUAUCAACAAAUUGUGCUGACUCCAAAUAAUAUAAACAUACCCAUGGUAUAUAUAGCUACUAAUGAAAUUAUGUACAUACACGGGUACGUAUAUAUCCAAUAAUUUAUCCUGGGUUUUAGGUAGUAAAGAAAUUAUAUACAAAGCGGAUAUGUAUAUAUAUAUAUGAUAAUUUUCUUGUAGCCUUCUAGAUCUUCUCGUGAGGUUGUUGUCAAUGUUAUGAUCACAAGGGAUGCAACGCUGCCUUAUGAAUAUGAUGGUUUACAAUUUGUCGCCGAUGUUGUCACAAGGUCCAUUGCAUGACCAUCUAGCAAGGUAAUCACCAACAAUAUGUGUUUUGUCUACUUGGCUCAAAUUGUUUGACGUGUCAUACUGAUUCAUGAUCACUUUGGUAGAUGAAACCCUACAAGCCAAGGGCAUCUGCCUCCGUGUUAAUCUUGCCUGAGGUAUUCUCUUACAGAAAAUCAAACACCAACAGAUGACAGAUGCAUGUGAAACCUGUAGUCUGGACUUCCCUUUGAUUUUUAUGUCUCAUAUUCUUUCUCUCUUGCAGAUCUCUGAUGGUGGUGGAAAGACAACAUUUGUUUAUUUCAUUAUCGAUAAGAAAACGUGAGAACAUAUCUUUUCUUCAUCAUCAUUGUCAAAAGGCCGCUAGUACUUAGCUUCCUGUAGUUAUAACUAGACGAGUGUAGCAGUCAACAUAGGUAUUUCCCCUCAACAUAUGAUAUGGACCUAUGGUAUUUCCCCUCUAUAGGGACAUCGAUAUGUGAGAUUGACAAGGAAAAGAACACUUGAGGUAUUAUUCAUUUCAAUACCUUGAGCAUUUUGUAUUUAGUAAGGUGUCACUUGAUAGUGUUUAUUUCAGUAAGGUGCUAUGUUUGCCUUUUAAAGUUAGUCCCCGUCAAUACUUUCUCCUUUUCGGUUUGGACCAUGUCAGCCUGAAGAGAUGUUCUUUUUUUAUGAUCACUACGAAUAAAAGUGUGCAGAAUGAAUUCAGUUUGCAACUAGCCAUAUAACACAUGUGUUUGCUUCAGGUUGUGCAUUUUAGUCCAUUGUAGGAAUAAUUUCAUUGAGAACUCGCAACGGCAGGUUGAAGAACAUUUUGGAGCACAAGUAGGGGUAAGUUAUAGAGUGUAGAGGAGCAACGCUGCGUGCUUGGAGAUCACUCAUGGUUCGGAUUGUUUCCUAUUCAGAUUGAGGAACGUGUACUCGGCCCACCCUCAUUCCCAAUGAUUAGAUAGUUUGCAUUUAUAUGCAAAUUGUGUGAAUAAAUUUAUGUAUACGAAGGUAAAAAUGGGAUACUAAUAUUCAUUAUUGCACGGUUGUAAAUCUUUGAGACCUUGUAUUUGAUAUCUCCCCUUUGGCCUACAUGUGCAUGGUUGGAAUUGGUAUUUUUUGCGGAUGUGAAAAUGGUUAUUAUAGAACCGAGUUUAUUUUGUGUCUAAGUUUUGCCAAAGUCAAGAAAAUGAUUCAGAUCUUGCACCGCUUCAAGUUAGCAAGUAACAAAGUUUUCUUAUUCUGGGUUAGCACAAUU